Molecule: unclassified non-coding RNA, 145 nt
Filed under: uncultured Helotiales
Lineage: Eukaryota; Fungi; Ascomycota; Leotiomycetes; Helotiales
Description: sequence contains ITS2
Source: RNAcentral
CAACACUCAAGCCUAGCUUGGUAUUGAGCCACGUCCGCAAGGGCUGGCUUUAAAAUCAGUGGCGGCGCCAUCUAGCUCUCAGCGUAGUAAUACUCCUCGCUGUUGGGUCCUGGUGGAUGCUGGCCAGCAACCCCCAACUUUCUAA